Molecule: ribosomal RNA, 449 nt
Filed under: uncultured bacterium
Lineage: Bacteria
Description: partial 16S ribosomal RNA
Rfam family: Bacterial small subunit ribosomal RNA
Source: RNAcentral
AACGAACGCUGGCGGCAGGCCUAACACAUGCAAGUCGAACGGGAUCUUCGGAUCUAGUGGCGGACGGGUGAGUAACGCGUGGGAACGUGCCCUUUGGUUCGGAAUAGCCCCGGGAAACUGGGAGUCAUACCGGAUAAGCCCUACGGGGGAAAGAUUUAUCGCCAAAGGAUCGGCCCGCGUUGGAUUAGGUAGUUGGUGAGGUAAUGGCUCACCAAGCCGACGAUCCAUAGCUGGUUUGAGAGGAUGAUCAGCCACACUGGGACUGAGACACGGCCCAGACUCCUACAGGAGGCAGCAGUGGGUAAUCUUAGACAAUGGGGGAAACCCUGAUCUAGCCAUGCCGCGUGAUCGAUGAAGGCCUUAGGGUUGUAAAGAUCUUUCAGUGGGGAAGAUAAUGACUGUACCCACAGAAGAAGCCCCGGCUAACUCCGUGCCAGCCGCCGCGGUAA